This 782-nucleotide long non-coding RNA is filed under the name Mus musculus (house mouse). RNAcentral's name for it is "long non-coding RNA chr2:114708111-114708893". The record is from RNAcentral. Lineage: Eukaryota; Metazoa; Chordata; Mammalia; Rodentia; Muridae.
AUUCCCAAAGGAAAGAAGGACAAAGGGAGAAGAUGCCCCAUCCCCGAUGUCCUGAAGAAACAGUAUGCCAAGGUGGUCGAUCCUUUGAGAAAAGACCCAAGAAAUUCGGCAUUGGGCAGAGCAUCCAGCCCAAAAGAGGUCUCACACACUUCGCCAAAUGGCCCUGGUACAUCAGGCUGCUGCAACAAAGGGCCAUCCUCUGUACGGAAUCAAAGUACCUCCUGCCACUAACUAGUUUACCCAGGCCCUGGACAGGCAAAUAUCAACAUACCCACUUAUGCUUGCCCAUGAGUACAGGCCAGGGACAAAGCAGAAGCAAAGACUAGUGGUGGUGCUCAGAAGAAAGCUGCUGGCAAAGGAGAUGUCCCAACUAAGAGACCAGCUGUCCUCUGGCCAGGAGUCAAUACAGUCACCACUUUGGUGGAGAACAAGAAGGCUCAGCUGGUAGCGAUUGCCUGUGGGUAGACCCCAUUGAGCUGGUCGUUUUCCUGCCUGCCCUGUGUCAAAAGAUGGGGGUCCCAUACUGCACCAUCAAGUAAAAAGCCAGACUGGGGAGCCUGGUCCACAGGAAGACAUACACCACUGUUGCUUUUACAAGGGUUAACUAGGAAGACAAAAGUGCUCUAGCUAAGCUGGUGAAAGCUAUUAGGACAAACUACCACAACAGAUAUGAUGUGAUUUGAUGCCACUGGAGAGGCAAUGUCCUGGGUCCUAAGUCUGUGGCUCACAUUGCCAAGCUGGAAAAAGCAAAGGCUAAAGAACUCGCCACUAAACAGAGUUAA